CGCGGGGUAGAGCAGCCCGGUAGCUCACUUGGCUCAUAACCAAGAGGUCGUGGAUUCGAAUUCCACCCCCGCAACCA
This 77-nucleotide transfer RNA is filed under the name Agrobacterium salinitolerans. RNAcentral describes it as "tRNA-Met". It matches the Rfam family "tRNA". Rfam says of the family: Transfer RNA (tRNA) molecules are approximately 80 nucleotides in length. Their secondary structure includes four short double-helical elements and three loops (D, anti-codon, and T loops). The record is from RNAcentral. Lineage: Bacteria; Pseudomonadati; Pseudomonadota; Alphaproteobacteria; Hyphomicrobiales; Rhizobiaceae.